GUGAUGAAAGAAAAUGAUGAACUCAAGGAUUCUUUCUCCCAGCUUCAGAAGCAGAUGCUGAGCCUCAAAUCUGCUAGGAUUGUCCUGAAUGAGAGUCUUAUCUCCUGCAGAGAAAGAGCUGAAAUUGUUGAAAAACAGACACAAGUUCUUAUCAUCAGCAUGAAAGAAACAGAAUGAAGGUGGACACAAGCAAAGCUCUGUCAGAUUUCAUCUACCAUCAAAAUCUCAACUUCUAUAGAUCAGAAGAUGUUUGCUCUAGCCCAGUACUUCAUAUUCCAGGCUGAGAUGCCUCCCAAUAGUGCAUACAUGAAAAUUCUGCUCCACCUGGUGAGAGAUGAGGAUCCAGUUUUAUUCUCUGGCCUGGUGUUUGCUUCAGCUCAAGAGUUCAAGACCAGCCUGGGCAACAUGGUGAAACUCCAUAUCUCCCUCACCCCAGCAAAAAAAAGUUUACUCCUGCCAACGGUAAGUUUGUGUUCUACCUUCUCACUCAUAUUUGGUAUUGUGAAGACUUGGAUUCUAGCCAUAGUAAUAGGUGUGUAUUUCACUGUUACUUUAAUUUGCAAUUCCAUGGUGAUGAAAUUUUAAUUUUUGCACUUCAAAAGUAUUUUUGUAUGUUGUGAAAAAUAUUUUUUCCCAGUCUGCGACUUGUCUUUUGAUUCUCUUAAGUGUCUUUCAUAGAGGAGAAUUUUUAAUUUCAUUUUCUAAUUUAUCAAAUCAUUUUAAUAGUUUUUUUUUUUUUUUUUGAGACGGAGUCUUACUCUGUCACCAGGCUGGAGUGCAGUGGUGCAAUCUCAGCUCACUGCAACCUCCGCCUGGGUUCAAGUGAUUCUUCCGCCUCAGCCUCCCGAGUAGCUGGGACCACUGCCACCACGCCCAGCUAAUUUUUGUAUUUUUAGUAGAGACGGGGUUUCACCAUGGCCAGGAUGGUCUCGACCUCUUGACCUCGUGAUCUGCUGGCCUCGGCCUCCCAAAGUGAAUAGAUAUUUUUAAUAUUGUCUAAAACACAUCACCAAAUCCAAGCCUGGAUUUUUUUUGUUGUUGUUCUAGAAGUUUUAUGGUAUUACGUUGUACAUUUAUGUCUACGAUCUAUUUUGGCUGAAGUUUUGUAAAAGGUCUGUUUAGAUGCAUUUACUUGCAUAUAGAUGUCUAAUUAUUCCAGCACUGUUGACGAGACUUUUCUCCAUUGAAUUGUCUUUGUUCCUUUUUCAAAGUUGAGUUGAUUAUAAUGGUUUGGCUCUAUUUCUGAACUCUUUGAUUGCAUUGACUUACGUGACUCUUUUUUUUUUUCAC
RNAcentral lists this long non-coding RNA (1290 nucleotides) under Callithrix jacchus (white-tufted-ear marmoset). RNAcentral's name for it is "lncRNA (ENSCJAG00000063336.2)". The record is from RNAcentral. Lineage: Eukaryota; Metazoa; Chordata; Mammalia; Primates; Cebidae.